ACGUCUUCUCUGAAAGGACAGUCGGGCAUUGGAACAGGCUGGCCAGGGCAGUGGUGGAAUCACUGUCCCAGUAAGUUUUCAGAAAACGUGUCGAUGAGGCCCUCAGUGGUAAGGUUUAGUGGUGGUCUUGGCAGUCCCGGGGUGAUGUUGGGCUUGAUGAUCCUAAAGGCCUUUUCCAACCUAGCUGAUUCUGUGAUCUGGAGCAUGACCUGUUAAGGGCAACCCCCUGCGGCCUGCUGCCAGCUUGCACUGGUAUGACCUCGGCAGCGCUGCUAGGGGAUAGAAGGAAAUCAGAGUGUGUGCUUCAGAGAUCACUGUCAUCCUGAGGUGUCUAUACAUAUGCUUAUUUGUGUUUUGGGAAGCUGGCAACUGAGGUGGGAAGAAAGGCCAGAUUAUAUUGGUAAAAGUAUAUUCAAGCUUGGUAUUUAGAACACCUGGGAGCUGAGCAUAUUUUUGGCUUUCAGCAGAGUAUGUCCCUUUUUUCUCCCUCACCUUCAAAAGCAAAAUAAAGUUCUUAGCUUUUUUGUAGCUUCUACAGUUUCCUGAAAACUUCCUUGCCUCCACUCCUAAAAAAAAAAAAAAAUUAAAAAAAAAAACCCAAACCUAAGCAGUUAAUGCAUUUCUGGUCUCUUUCCUUUCUCAGGGUAAUUGUUAAUGAAGUGAUGCCCAUUCCAUAGUCAAACUGCAGUUAAAGCCUUGGCAUUCAAGGACUUUUGAAAGCAGGCAAGUGCUGUUUCCUUGGUGGAGGGAAACAUCUUCCAUGUCUAGUUACAGAGUAUAUCCUAAGAAAGAAAUACUACUUCUUUCAAAUAGACCAGGAAAAGUAAAAGGCUGCAUCUGCUCCUAAAUAAUUUAUUAAAAUAAUCUGUGACUUCAGGUGUGACCCUCUAACUCUUUCUGGUUUGAUUACUUUGGUGUUCCAUGCUUAGCCCAGGUAGAGAAUGACCCUUUCCAUAUGCUGUGAUUUUAAAUUUGUGGGUUUUAGCUUGAGAAAUUAAGUUCUUUACACCCAAAAUUUUCCAAGGCAGCUGGAGGUCAAUGCAGGGUUUUAAUUGUAAUGUUUAUAGCAGGAAUGUAAGUGUCACUGAGAAGUUAAUUUUAUGUUAGUGCAGAGCAUGGCUAAGAGAGACGUGUCUUUUGCUGGUGGCAAGACAUCAGUCCAGCAGUCAUGACCUGUCUUGCUAUUAUGUGUGAUUCAGGUUUUAGAUAAGAAUCCCGUCAUAUGUUUGGAGGAUGCAUAGGGAAUGGAGGAUAUGAUGCAUUAGCUGUACAUACUUACAUGUCAAAACACUGUUUUAUUGAGAUGUGACAUUUCAGUGUUUACAUUUCAUACAUUUAUUCUUUGCUCUCCUUUCAAAGUAUCUCUUCCCUUGGUAGCAGUGUGUGUACAGAAGUAUGUGAGUAUAUUUUAUUAAAUACCAGUACUCAGUGUUUCAGACUUUGAGAAUCAUAUAGAUUUGGUUAGGUUAGGUUUUGGGUUGGGUUUUUUUUUCCCUGUCUUCCUCCUUCUUUUGUCCUGCUGCAAUUCAGAGACCAAGUGUCUCAUCUGGUGUUCAGAAUAUGGUCAACAAAACUCAUAGGCUUUCCUAGACAUGUAAUUUUGAUUGCCAGCCCGAAGCUGGUAUUCUCUCACUGUGAGUCUUGUAAGUAUAAAUUGUUCUCACUUUAAAGAAGAUUGAAUCCUUAAAGAAAACAGGAGAUUUGUCACUGGU
Pezoporus occidentalis (night parrot) is the source of this 1712-nucleotide long non-coding RNA. RefSeq lists it as uncharacterized. The record is from RefSeq and is a predicted model, not a curated record. The transcript is spliced from 3 exons. Lineage: Eukaryota; Metazoa; Chordata; Aves; Psittaciformes; Psittacidae.